Molecule: long non-coding RNA, 590 nt
Filed under: Vombatus ursinus (common wombat)
Lineage: Eukaryota; Metazoa; Chordata; Mammalia; Diprotodontia; Vombatidae
Description: lncRNA (ENSVURG00010012319.1)
Source: RNAcentral
GUAAUUAUGCCCCAGUGACUCUACCCCUUUCUUCUCUGCUCCAGGGGGAGGCCCUGACCUCCUGUCAGCAUGCAAGGCUACCAAGGUGUUGGCCAACAGAGCUAGGGAUCCUGUACAAAUUUUUUAUACUUCUCUGGAGCCAGCACUUACCACCAAGGUACCAUUGGGAUUGAGUGUCCUGAAAAUCCCUAGCAGAAGGUAAGCGAGAACACAGUAACAAUGAUGUGAUUAUUAAAAAUUCAUAUUAAUGUUAACAUAGUGCUUUUCACAUCCGUUUUGCAGACAUGAAUUAAUUAAUCAAAAGGCUGCUAUUUGAGGAUAAACAUCACCGGUGAUGCCUCCCAGGAGAAAAAGCUGCAGGUUCAGCAGAAACAGUGAAGAGCUCACUGGGGUGACUGUUGGCCCUGGAGACGAGGUCCCCGGGCUGUGACCCCUGGUUUAAAAUCCUUGUACCAUCCUGAAUUUCUUGUGUGAACUCGGCAUUCAUACCUUUCCACCAUAUUGUUAUCUUUUUUCGUAAAAUGAGGAUACUAUUUUUUUCAAAAAAUAAGGAUUUUGCAACAAGGCAAUAAAAGAGGUGGGGGGACCCA